This 22-nucleotide microRNA is filed under the name Strongyloides ratti. RNAcentral describes it as "str-miR-76-3p". Its record names the gene str-miR-76-3p. Lineage: Eukaryota; Metazoa; Nematoda; Chromadorea; Rhabditida; Strongyloididae. The record is from miRBase by way of RNAcentral.
UUCGUUGUUACUGAAACUCGUC